GACGAACGCUGGCGGCGUGCUUAACACAUGCAAGUCGAACGGAAAGGCCUCUUUCGGGGGGUACUCGAGUGGCGAACGGGUGAGUAACACGUGAGUAACCUGCCCUUGACUUUGGGAUAACUUCCGUAAACUGGGGCUAAUACCGGAUAGGAGCUCCUGCUGCAUGGUGGGGGUUGGAAAGUUUCGGCGGUUGGGGAUGGACUCGCGGCUUAUCAGCUUGUUGUUGGGGUAGUGGCUUACCAAGGCUUUGACGGGUAGCCGGCCUGGGGGGGUGACCGGCCACAGUGGGACUGAGGUACGGCCCAGUCUCCUACGGGAGGCAGCAGUGGGGAAUAUUGCACAAUGGGUGGAAGCCUGAUGCAGCAACGCCGUGUGCGGGAUGACGGCCUUCGGGUUGUAAACCGCUUUCGCUCAUGACGAAGCUUUGUGUGACGGUAGUGGGUAAAGAAGCACCGGCUAACUACGUG
This 467-nucleotide ribosomal RNA is filed under the name uncultured bacterium. RNAcentral describes it as "partial 16S ribosomal RNA". It matches the Rfam family "Bacterial small subunit ribosomal RNA", at positions 28 to 507 of the family's 1533-position model. The record is from RNAcentral.